Molecule: small nucleolar RNA, 129 nt
Organism: Psammomys obesus (fat sand rat)
Lineage: Eukaryota; Metazoa; Chordata; Mammalia; Rodentia; Muridae
Product: small nucleolar RNA SNORA70
Exons: 1
Source: RefSeq, a predicted model, not a curated record
AAGUUGUGAGGCCUUGUGACCAAGCUCCUUCCGGGGGGUCUGGUGGACUGUGGCUGCAGAUAGCAGCAUUCUUGGUGGUGUACCAACCUGUUGCUUCAUGAGCUAUCCUUAGGGAUCGUAGAGCUUUCC